GAAAAGCGCUCGAAUACUAACAGAGAGGAGCGCCGGAUAACGGAAAGCAAGAUACCAUUUCCACCAACGCAUGGAAAGGCAUGGAUAAUCAGACAUUUUUAUUUUCCGGGCAUUGAUUCACCCAGAGGUCGUCCGGUAUCAAUGACGUGGAUUACGUCAAUCUGAUGAAUAAGAGUUGUAUGGUGACCAAAUUUCAACACACUAUUCCAAUUGACAAGGGACAUUCUUAUGUACAGAGACAGCGUAACGGUAAAUGGCUAACAGGAUAGUUUAAAAUCCAAACCUUUUCAUGUGAUUACUGAUAACCUUUCAGUUGAGUCACCCACAUAAAGCGCAGGAAACAAAGUAUUUGUGAAAGGGGCAUCAGAUCAAAUCUGGCCUCUUCAAUGUCCCUGUUGUGACAACACAAGAAAAACUGGUUUUUACAUUAAUGUAAGGUAUAUGGAACUACAUGUUACUUUAGAAAUCUGUAUGUUAACGAAAUAAAUUCUAAGAAGAGGACGUAACUUUAUCUCAGUUCAGUAAAAAACAACGAAAAUACGACAAAAAGAGGAAUAAAAAGGAACAAAGCAAAAACAAAGAAACAAACACAUUAAUAAAUAUUUCUUAUUCAAGUCAAAUCAAACGGAGAAACUGAGAAGACACCACAACGAAAACGAACAAUAAGGAGACUAGAAGUUAUAGAACAUCAAAGGUAUAAUGACGAUGUAUGAAAAAUUAAAAAAGAUACCUUCAUUAACAGAUGGGAACCUCUUCGUUACAACACUAAAAUUUUUCAUUGUGAUAAUAUCGAGUAAAUAAUACACUGCUUUGAA
Long non-coding RNA from Ylistrum balloti, 815 nucleotides. RefSeq lists it as uncharacterized. The record is from RefSeq and is a predicted model, not a curated record. The transcript has 2 exons. Lineage: Eukaryota; Metazoa; Mollusca; Bivalvia; Pectinida; Pectinidae.